UGAGUUGGCCGGGCGGCCGCGGGUCGUCGCAAGACGGCUCGAGGAAAGUCCGGACUUCGCAGAGCAGGGUGGUUGCUAACAGCAACCCGGGGUGACCCGCGGGAAAGUGCCACAGAAAACAGACCGCCACCGGCAACGGUGGUAAGGGUGAAACGGUGCGGUAAGAGCGCACCAGCAUUCCGGGUGACCGGAAUGGCUAGGCAAACCCCACCCGAAGCAAGGCCAAGAAGACCGCACCUCGGUGCGGUCGCGCAGACGCUCGAGGGUUGCUCGCCCGAUGUCUGCGGGUAGGCCGCUCGAGGCACCCGGCGACGGGUGUCCCAGAUGGAUGGUCGCCGCCUCACCGCCGCGUACCGCGACGGUGAGGAACAGAAUCCGGCUUACAGGCCAACUCAUCCG
This 399-nucleotide RNase P RNA is filed under the name Mycolicibacterium hassiacum. RNAcentral's name for it is "RNase P RNA component class A". It matches the Rfam family "Bacterial RNase P class A". From Rfam's summary of the family: Ribonuclease P (RNase P) is a ubiquitous endoribonuclease, found in archaea, bacteria and eukarya as well as chloroplasts and mitochondria. Its best characterised activity is the generation of mature 5'-ends of tRNAs by cleaving the 5'-leader elements of precursor-tRNAs. RNAcentral also lists the same sequence under 1 other name. Lineage: Bacteria; Bacillati; Actinomycetota; Actinomycetes; Mycobacteriales; Mycobacteriaceae. The record is from RNAcentral.